This is a long non-coding RNA of Lynx canadensis (Canada lynx), 698 nucleotides long. RefSeq lists it as uncharacterized. The transcript is spliced from 4 exons. NCBI's taxonomy places the organism in Eukaryota, Metazoa, Chordata, Mammalia, Carnivora, Felidae. The record is from RefSeq and is a predicted model, not a curated record.
UAUGACUGGCAGAAACGCAUUGUGUAACCAGCAGUCUUUUUUCACUAUCUAUGUGAAGAAGCCGUCUCCUGAGAGAAAGGAUAGGCAGUGUGAUACAGAAACAGUACCACCUCAGGAGUCAGACAAACCUGACAGUUUGACUCUGCGUUAAGUUCUUCACUUGAGUCUUGGUGCCCUUACUUGUGAAAUAGAAUAAUACUGCCUAACUUAAUGUUAUUCUGAAUAUUUGAGAAGAUAAGUCAUUCGACAGAUAUUCACCAAGUGCUUUAUCCUGAGAGCAAUGGAGAAUCGCUAUAAGGUCUUAAACAGAAGAAGCAACAUAAUUAAACAUGAACUUUGGAAACAGAACUCUGGCUGCAAUACGAGGAAUGAAUGAGGGAACAUGUUAGUGGAUAUCUUGGAUCUCUUGCUUGGAUAUCUGAGUGGAUGGAGGUGCCGCUAACUAGAAGAGAGAACACUGGAAAAGCAGCAGGUUGAGAGAAAAGUGACAAAUUCUGUUCUGGACAGAUCUCUUACAUGGUUGAGGAUAUCUUUGCUUCCCCCGCUGGCCUGGAAACAUCCACUGCUCAUGGACCAUGAGCUACUUAUUAUAAUGCAGCGAAGGAUGAUGUCAGUGAUGUUGAAACCAGAAAAAGAAAGGCUUUCUUCUGUGCAUGUCCUGUCUCCAAUUUUUUAUUAAAUAGUAUUUAUGAUGAAAA